Molecule: ribosomal RNA, 427 nt
Filed under: uncultured bacterium
Lineage: Bacteria
Description: bacterial SSU rRNA
Rfam family: Bacterial small subunit ribosomal RNA
Source: RNAcentral
UGGGGAAUUUUGGACAAUGGGCGCAAGCCUGAUCCAGCAAUGCCGCGUGCAGGAUGAAGGCCUUCGGGUUGUAAACUGCUUUUGUACGGAGCGAAAAGGUCUGCCCUAAUACGGUGGGCUCAUGACGGUACCGUAAGAACAAGCACCGGCUAACUACGUGCCAGCAGCCGCGGUAAUACGUAGGGUGCAAGCGUUAAUCGGAAUUACUGGGCGUAAAGCGUGCGCAGGCGGUUAUGCAAGACAGAGGUGAAAUCCCCGGGCUCAACCUGGGACCUGCAUUUGUGACUGUAUAGCUAGAGUACGGUAGAGGGGGACGGAAUUCCGCGUGUAGCAGUGAAAUGCGUAGAUAUGCGGAGGAACACCGAUGGCGAAGGCAAUCCCCUGGACCUGUACUGACGCCCAUGCACGAAAGCGUGGGGAGCAAACA